UACAGAGGGUGCUAGCGUUGUUCGGAAUUACUGGGCGUAAAGGGCUCGUAGGCGGCCAACUAAGUCCGACGUGAAAUCCCCGGGCUUAACCUGGGAACUGCGUCUGAUACUGGAUGGCUUGAGUUCGGGAGAGGGAUGCGGAAUUCCAGGUGUAGCGGUGAAAUGCGUAGAUAUCUGGAGGAACACCGGUGGCGAAGGCGGCAUCCUGGACCGAUACUGACGCUGAGGAGCGAAAGCCAGGGGAGCAAACGGGG
Molecule: ribosomal RNA, 254 nt
Filed under: uncultured bacterium
Lineage: Bacteria
Description: partial 16S ribosomal RNA
Rfam family: Bacterial small subunit ribosomal RNA
Source: RNAcentral